UCAAUAUCAAUAUUUAAAAUGCACAUACAGGUUUUUUUUUUUUUAGCUACAAUGACUCAGCCGAUGUUCUCUUCCUGCUGCGGGACCAUGGCGGGGUGUAAAUUCUGCGUAGAUGAAUGGAAGAAAACGUCCGAUCACUGCCUCAAGUGCAGGGAAGACCUGCCCAUGUAUACAGAGACUCAAACGACGUCUGCUGCAGCUUUGUUCUCGUCGUCAGAAGAUGAGGAACACCAGUCAGCACCAAUGAUGUCAACACCAGUCAAGCAUCCUCCCUCUGGCCAAGCACCGUUUUCACCAGGCCUCAAUACCAGUGCCAGUAGCCAUGAAGUUGGUGAAACCGACGAAAGCUAUCAGCCUGAGUCAACCCUCACGCCCACACCGGCGUCGUCAUCACAAGAUGAAGGUGUAAAGGACUGCCGUGAAAAGAUUAUUGGCAAUGAAUUCAGCCUCAUGUCACUAUUCAAAUGCAAACAUACUUGUGAGAAUAGAUGGCCCUUUUCUCUCGCAUAUUAACAGCCAAGUUAACGGCAAUACACUAUGGGGGAGGUGGACAUGUCUGCAAGGAACAACAAUCUACACAACAAAGUAUUCAGUCGAUUGGCCUGGCCUUAGUAUCAGACUUAAUGGCUCCAGUGGGAAUGCAUAUGUGAACUAUCUUUAUGGGGUCAGAACAGUCUCAUUAAUAAUGAAUGCACAGAGAAGGAUUCACAAAUGUAUUUUCUACCCAUGACACAAUUCUUUCAUUUGUGAAUAAAAAAUACAAUGUAACUCCUG
Molecule: long non-coding RNA, 774 nt
Organism: Gadus morhua (Atlantic cod)
Lineage: Eukaryota; Metazoa; Chordata; Actinopteri; Gadiformes; Gadidae
Exons: 3
Source: RefSeq, a predicted model, not a curated record